CUUCAAUGUCAAAAUUGUGACAAUGUGUCAUUCUACUUUCAGAGCACUUCAAUGUAAAAAUUGUGUGAGGAUGUUGGUAUAUGUUCAUAGCACUUCAAUAUAAAAAUUGUGUGAAUAUGUUGGUUACUUUCAUAGCACUUCAAUAUAAAAAUUGUGUGAAUAUAUUGGUAUGAUAUCAUAGCACUUCAAUAUAAAAAUUGUGUGAAUAUGUUGGUAUACCUUCAUAGCACUUCAAUAUAAAAAUUGUGUGAAUAUGUCGGUAUACCUUCAUAGCACUUUAAUAUAAAAAUUGUGUGAAUAUGUCGGUAUACCCUCAUAGCACUUUAAUAUAAAAAUUGUGUGAAUAUGUUGGUAUACUUUCAUAGCACUUUAAUAUAAAAAUUGUGUGAAUAUGUUGGUAUACUUUCAUAGCACUUUAAUAUAAAAAUUGUGUGAAUAUGUUGGUAUACCUUCAUAGCACUUUAAUAUAAAAAUUGUGUGAAUAUGUUGGUAUACUUUCAUAGCAC
Molecule: long non-coding RNA, 506 nt
Organism: Limulus polyphemus (Atlantic horseshoe crab)
Lineage: Eukaryota; Metazoa; Arthropoda; Merostomata; Xiphosura; Limulidae
Exons: 3
Source: RefSeq, a predicted model, not a curated record